GACGAACGCUGGCGGCGUGCUUAACACAUGCAAGUCGAACGGUGAACCUCUUCGGGGGGGGGCAGUGUCGCGCACGGGAGUGAAACAUGUGCAACAUCUGCCCCCCGCUCUGGGAACUCCAAGAGAUAUUGGGGAUUAUCCCGGAUGUGCCCGUUGGCUGCAUGGUGUGGUGGUGGAAAGGGUUUCCGGCUGGGGAUGGGCCCGCGGCCUAUCCGCUUGUUGGUGGGGUAGUGGCCUACCAAGGCGACGACGGGUAGCCGGCCUGAGAGGGUGACCGGCCACACUGGGACUGAGACACGGCCCAGACUCCUACGGGAGGCAGCAGUGGGGAAUAUUGCGCAAUGGGCGGAAGCCUGACGCAGCGACGCCGCGUGGGGGAUGACGGCCUUCGGGUUGUAAACCUCUUUCAGCAGGGACGAAGCGCAAGUGACGGUACCUGCAGAAGAAGCACCGGCCAACUACGUG
Molecule: ribosomal RNA, 465 nt
Filed under: uncultured bacterium
Lineage: Bacteria
Description: partial 16S ribosomal RNA
Rfam family: Bacterial small subunit ribosomal RNA
Source: RNAcentral